CCCUUAGAUGUUCUGGGCCGCACGCGCGCUACACUGACUGGUGCAACAAGUGUCGCUCCUUGGCCGAUAGGCCUGGGCAAUCUUUGAACGCCAGUCGUGAUGGGGAUAGAUUCUUGCAAUUUUUGAUCUUCAACGAGGAAUUCCUAGUAAACGCGAGUCAUCAACUCGCAUUGAUUACGUCCCUGCCCUUUGUACACACCGCCCGUCGCACCUACCGAUUGAAUGGUCCGGUGAACCCUCCGGAUCGGCUCGCGCCAACGCAAGUUGAGCAAAGACCGAGAAGUUGGGUAAACCUUACCAUUUAGAGGAAGGUGAAGUCGUAACA
RNAcentral lists this ribosomal RNA (325 nucleotides) under uncultured eukaryote. RNAcentral's name for it is "partial 18S ribosomal RNA". It matches the Rfam family "Eukaryotic small subunit ribosomal RNA", at positions 1470 to 1796 of the family's 1831-position model. The record is from RNAcentral.